Molecule: non-coding RNA, 119 nt
Organism: Phytophthora infestans T30-4
Lineage: Eukaryota; Oomycota; Peronosporomycetes; Peronosporales; Peronosporaceae
Source: Rfam
ACAGACGGCCAUCUUAGGCUGAAAGCACCAUAUCCCGUCUGCUCUGUGAAGUUAAGCAGCCUCAAGCUCGGGUAGUACUCGGGUGGGUGACCACCGGGGAAGUCCGGCGUGCUAGUGUA